CUUAAAGGAAUUGACGGGGCCCGCACAAGCGGUGGAGUAUGUGGUUUAAUUCGAUGCAACGCGAAGAACUUACCUGGUCUUGACAUCCCGGAGACCCUUAGGAAACUAGGGGGUGCUUCCAUCUGGAAGAAUCUGGAGACAGGUGCUGCAUGGCUGUCGUCAGCUCGUGUCGUGAGAUGUUGGGUUAAGUCCCGCAACGAGCGCAACCCUUGCCUUUAGUUGCCAGCAGUUCGGCUGGGCACUCUAAAGGGACUGCCGGUGUUAAACCGGAGGAAGGUGGGGAUGACGUCAAGUCCUCAUGGCCUUUAUGACCAGGGCUACACACGUACUACAAUGGCCGAUACAAAGGGCAGCGACACUGCGAGGUGAAGCCAAUCCCGUAAAAUCGGUCUCAGUCCGGAUUGGAGUCUGCAACUCGACUCCAUGAAGUUGGAAUCGCUAGUAAUCGUGGAUCAGCAUGCCACGGUGAAUACGUUCCCGGGCCUU
RNAcentral lists this ribosomal RNA (486 nucleotides) under uncultured Desulfobulbus sp. Its description in RNAcentral is "bacterial SSU rRNA". It matches the Rfam family "Bacterial small subunit ribosomal RNA", at positions 900 to 1382 of the family's 1533-position model. The record is from RNAcentral. Lineage: Bacteria; Pseudomonadati; Thermodesulfobacteriota; Desulfobulbia; Desulfobulbales; Desulfobulbaceae.